RNAcentral lists this ribosomal RNA (88 nucleotides) under Neisseria gonorrhoeae. Lineage: Bacteria; Pseudomonadati; Pseudomonadota; Betaproteobacteria; Neisseriales; Neisseriaceae. The record is from RNAcentral. RNAcentral also lists the same sequence under 3 other names.
UCUGGUGACAAUGGCAAGGAGGUCACACCUGUUCCCAUGCCGAACACAGAAGUUAAGCUCCUUAGCGCCGAUGGUAGUCGGACUGACG